AAGUAACCCUCGAACCCCUAAUUAACCCUAUAACUUUAGAGCAACUCAAAUGAGGUACAGCCCAUUUGAUACAGGAUACAACCUUCACUAAUGGCUAACAUUCAACUUUAUACCCCAAAGUUGGCCUAAAAGCAGCCAUCUUUAAAAAAGCGUCAAAGCUUAGCCGUACUGUAUAAAUUUAAAAAUACAUAUUGACCCCUUUAACCGUAUUGAGAAUUUCUAUAAACCUAUAGAACCUUUUAUGCUAAAACUAAUAACAAGAGGAAACUCCUCUCUCAAAUGCUAACCUAAGCCGGCAAGAACCCCCCACCGGCAAUCAACAGACAUAAAGUAGUAACUUCCCCAGAAAACCCUACUUUCCACUAACUGUUAACCUAACACUAGAGCAUUACAAGAAAGAUUAAAAGAAAAAGAAGGAACUCGGCAAACACUAGCCCCGCCUGUUUACCAAAAACAUCGCCUCUUGUUCUCAUAAGAGGUCCAGCCUGCCCAGUGAUUUAUUC
RNAcentral lists this ribosomal RNA (503 nucleotides) under Pristimantis platydactylus (flat-fingered robber frog). Its description in RNAcentral is "partial 16S ribosomal RNA". The record is from RNAcentral. Lineage: Eukaryota; Metazoa; Chordata; Amphibia; Anura; Strabomantidae.